GAUGAACGCUGGCGGCGUGCCUAAUACAUGCAAGUCGAGCGAACAGGCGAGGAGCUUGCUCCUCUGACGUUAGCGGCGGACGGGUGAGUAACACGUGGAUAACCUACCUAUAAGACUGGGAUAACUUCGGGAAACCGGAGCUAAUACCGGAUAAUAUAUUGAACCGCAUGGUUCAAUAGUGAAAGACGGUUUUGCUGUCACUUAUAGAUGGAUCCGCGCCGCAUUAGCUAGUUGGUAAGGUAACGGCUUACCAAGGCAACGAUGCGUAGCCGACCUGAGAGGGUGAUCGGCCACACUGGAACUGAGACACGGUCCAGACUCCUACGGGAGGCAGCAGUAGGGAAUCUUCCGCAAAGGGCGAAAGCCUGACGGAGCAACGCCGCGUGAGUGAUGAAGGUCUUCGGAUCGUAAAACUCUGUUAUUAGGGAAGAACAAAUGUGUAAGUAACUAUGCACGUCUUGACGGUACCUAAUCAGAAAGCCACGGCUAACUACGUG
RNAcentral lists this ribosomal RNA (497 nucleotides) under uncultured bacterium. RNAcentral describes it as "partial 16S ribosomal RNA". It matches the Rfam family "Bacterial small subunit ribosomal RNA", at positions 28 to 507 of the family's 1533-position model. The record is from RNAcentral.